CCUACGGGGCGCAGCAGUGAGGAAUAUUGGUCAAUGGACGCGAGUCUGAACCAGCCAAGUAGCGUGAAGGAUGACUGCCCUAUGGGUUGUAAACUUCUUUUAUAUGGGAAUAAAAUGUUCCACGUGUGGCUUUUUGUAUGUACCAUAUGAAUAAGGAUCGGCUAACUCCGUGCCAGCAGCCGCGGUAAUACGGAGGAUCCGAGCGUUAUCCGGAUUUAUUGGGUUUAAAGGGAGCGUAGGUGGAUUGUUAAGUCAGUUGUGAAAGUUUGCGGCUCAACCGUAAAAUUGCAGUUGAAACUGGCAGUCUUGAGUACAGUAGAGGUGGACGGAAUUCGUGGUGUAGCGGUGAAAUGCUUAGAUAUCACGAAGAACUCCGAUUGCGAAGGCAGCUCACUAGACUGCAACUGACACUGAGGCUCGAAAGUGUGGGUAUCAAACAGGAUUAGAUACCCGUGUAGUC
This 460-nucleotide ribosomal RNA is filed under the name uncultured bacterium. RNAcentral's name for it is "partial 16S ribosomal RNA". It matches the Rfam family "Bacterial small subunit ribosomal RNA", at positions 338 to 795 of the family's 1533-position model. The record is from RNAcentral.